Molecule: unclassified non-coding RNA, 207 nt
Filed under: soil metagenome
Description: partial contains 5.8S ribosomal RNA, internal transcribed spacer 2, and large subunit ribosomal RNA
Source: RNAcentral
AACCAUAGAAACCUGCGGAGUACCUGCGGAAGGAUCAUUACCGAGUUUACAACUCCCAAACCCCUGUGAACAUACCUAUACGUUGCCUCGGCGGAUCAGCCCGCGCCCUGUAAAAAGGGACGGCCCGCCCGAGGACCCUAAACUCUGUUUUUAGUGGAACUUCUGAGUAAAACAAACAAAUAAAUCAAAACUUUUAACAAUGGAUCU